UCUACCACAUUCUCUCACCCAAAAUCAGAUUUUUCUUCCUCCUUCUCCUAACAUCACGCUAUCUCCCUCUUUCUCAUGCUAUCCACCAAAAAUCAGCACUUCACCAUGGAAUCAUCAUGCUUAUGUGUUUUGCUUGAGUUAUGGAAGAAGUAGAACCUCUAAACAACUUGUUCUCUCAUUCUUCCUCUCCUAAGAAGUUCAUUCAAGUGAUCCUAGCAUGGUUUGAAGAAGUUAGAGCUAAGAUGGUGAUCAUGUAAAGAGAAUUGAAGUUUGUGUUGUAUUUUGAGCUAGAGGCAAGCUUGAGCAAGAUUAAGGCAAGACACCAAGAGCUAGGGUUUGGCUUGGCAAGAAGAUAGAGGCAGGGGCUGAAUGUUGAAACUGAAUGUAAGUAUAAGUGAUUAAUAGCUUAAAUUGAGGUAAAAGUGAUUAUUUUGAGAAGAAAUUUAAGUUAUGUUGAUUCAUUAGAAGUAUAAGCUGUUAUUUCAUUUGGCAUUCUGUGAUGACUCUGUUUUUGGGCUGUUAGUAGUAUCAAUUUUGCUGUUGUUGCUGUUCGGAAUGAAAAGCUAGCAGUUAAAAGUCAUAAGUUGUUCCAAAAGCUAUCAGAAUUGAUUAUUGAGUUAAAACAAGUUAGAAUUUCAAUAUAAGUGUCUUAGGAGAUGUGUAAACAUGUUUGCUUUGAUUCUGGAAAAUUUGAAUUGAAAUGGAAUUGUUUAAAGGUCAUAAGCUGUCAGUUAAGCUGUUGAUUAAGUUGCUGUAACAGUGGUUCAUAGAGAUGAUUAUACAUGUUGGAACUGUUUUGUUGAAGGUUGGGUCGAAAUUGAUAUGACAAAAGUCAUAAGUUGCUAUUUAAUUCGUUUGGAUAAUAGCUUAAAUUAGAAUUUAAGUUGUUUCAGGUAUUAUCUUGUGAAGACCAGCUUAGGAGAGAUAUGUUGAAUUGGUAUAUGAGUAAUGGAAAUAUUAUAAGCUGUUCUAGUAAUGGUAAUUAAGCUGUUUUAGAAGUACUGAAUUCUGGUGCAGGGACUGAAAUGGGAAUUUUUCUAUAUGCUGAUCGAUGAAAUAGGAGUAUGUCACAAGUGGCACUACUACACAUAUGUGUUUUAGUAACAUUCAUCUUGCAACACUUGUUUAAUAGUUACUAAUAUAGAGAUUUUUCUUAACAUUUUUUAGUAAGUGUUACAUUAGUGUCACUCUUUUUCGGUGGUGUUUAUAUCAAAACACAUUCAUAUUCUACUGAAACAAAAAAAACAAAAAACAUUUCAACUCUUUUAACACACACACACACUCUCUCUCUCUCUCUCUCUCGUCUUCGAGCUAACCAGAAGCAAACGUUCGAACAUGGCCGCAAAGCUAAAUGUGCGAUUACAAUCACAGGUUCCAUGUUAAUAAGAUGUCUUCAGCCCAUGUUUAUGCCGGGCUGCUCAUAGGUCACUAUCGAUGACAUGAGUGAAGGUUUAUUGGAAGAUUGUGCUCAACUUGUCAAAGAAAAUUCAAUUCAAGGUUUAGUUUUUAAUAAGAUAUUAAGCAGCGGACGGAAUAAUUUCCUCAUGAGUAUAUCUUCCCCACAGAGCAAAGCAUAGCACAUCAAGAGAAAAAAAGGCAGGGACAAGGUAAAAUUUGCUAGGUCAAUAACAAAAUGGUUUAAAGGGGACCUUAAUGGAGCACAAGAAUCUGCAAUUGGCUGCCGUUGUUAAGCUUUCAUUUGGUUAUCUCUACUUUGACAAUGAUUUCUUCACGUUUCCUUGUCUUUUUUGUGGAUUUAGUUUUCUCGUUCCUUUCUGACUCCCUGUGUUCGUAACUGGGGUUUUUUGUUGUGAAAUUUUCUCAGCUCUUGUUACAGCGGAUAUGAUAUACUGUGAUUUUAAAGCUGCAGCUAACCUUAAUAUUACGAACAUGCGGACCCUUGGAUUUUACGGUUCAUUUUCUUGCCUUGAAUGCACUUGUUCUGGAAAAUAGGUGUCCUUUGGCAUUGUAAUGUGUCAUUGUUUAGAAUUAUUAAACUAAAUAUUAGGAGAGCUUCAACAAUAUUUAUGAUUCUGUCCAUCUUUCUUGGAUAAUCAAGAGAUACACUUCUGUUUUGCAGAGGGCUAAAGUUUGGAUAUCUACAACGUUUGGAGAUACACUACUAUUCCAGAUAUAUCAAAGUCGUUCUUUACUUUUUAAGUUUUGGGCUUUGUUCUUAAGACAUGCUGCAGAUUGGAUUGUGAAUCUAUUUUUCUGUUCAAUAUUUCUGUUGAUUAUGAGUAUUUCUUGAUUUCUUAUUUUCCUGUUUGGUGCUCCAAGAGAGGUGAUCUAUUAAUGUUGAGUAUUCCUUCUGGUUAGUUUUGUCUCUUGAUGUUGUGGUUUGAUUUAGUUCUUGCUGGUGUUGGUCUUAGUGGUUGCUGUACUUAUUUUAAUGAUCAUCACAAAUAAUGAAUUGUUAGUUAAUUGUCAUUCUGAUUCUUGUCUGCAAAAUAUAGAAUUCUUCAGUUGUGGUUCAUUAUUAUUUUUAUUUUUAGGAUUUGUUUGCAAAACACUAGAAUUGAAAUGUUAUUCAUGUGACACCUUAAGAUUAGUGGCCACUAGCUAGGAAGACAUCCUCCACUGAAUCUAUGACCACCACCAAGUUCCUUUAAAUGUGUUCCCAGUGCCAUAUAUACUUUUCUAUCACUGUACAAUGUCUGAAUUGAUAUAUGAUUUGAAUUAUAAGAUUAUCUUUAUUAGAGUUAAACUCCUAUCAUGCUCAGAUACAAAAGCUCGUGUAAUUUGGGGAGUUUAUUCUAAUUGAGUUCUGUCUCCACUAUCUAUGAAGUCUUUGUUGAAUGCAAAUUCCCCUGCUGUUGUUUAUUCUAAUUGAAUUGUGAAUUCUAAGAUUAUCUCUAUUAGCUAUUACACUUGUUUUUCUUAGUAUCCUUGUUGAGCAUGGUAUCAACGUUGCAGCUUGGUAAGUUUCAAUUGAUAAUGAUUUUCAUGACAGAAUCGUCCUUUGCAUUAAAAUUGUUGCACAAUACUGGUGAUGAGAUAAGGAAGGGAUGUCUGCAAUCUUGCUGGCAGAACAUUAUGAAGAUGAUUGCGGAUAAGCAACGGCACAAGACAAAGGAGAUUAAAGAGAAGGCUUGCAUUUCUCAUGUGCAGCUUGAUGACCUUAAAGAGAAGGGGGGAAAUUGUGUUGGAUGAAAACUUAAUUGUAAUCAUUUUUGUAUGUAAUUCAAAUUGUGUUGUAUAGUUCAAAUUGUGUUGCAUAGUUUAUUUUCGUCAUGCAAGAAUAAGAACAGAGAAGAGGGGAACUUUUAUAGAGUAUGUAAUUCAAACUAGUUAUUAAAACUUGUAUCUAAUAUUGGUUAAUUCAAAUA
Molecule: long non-coding RNA, 3329 nt
Organism: Medicago truncatula (barrel medic)
Lineage: Eukaryota; Viridiplantae; Streptophyta; Magnoliopsida; Fabales; Fabaceae
Exons: 3
Source: RefSeq, a predicted model, not a curated record